ACACAUCUAUGAAGUUAUGUUCUUUGACAUACGGAAAACAAACCAAUUCUAAGUAGCUUGUGAAUUCACUGAAGGUGGCUGUAAAACAGUAUACAGCCUCCUUUAGAAAAGGGGAAUGGGCAGUGUAAAUCUCACCAUCAGGACUGACUUAAGCUCCUAGGUUAUCAGCAUGAGAACUGCCCAGCUGGUGCAGUAAAGGAAGGAAAAGCUAGAAGAUUGGAAGAAGGACUCAACUGCUCAUUUUUCAGUGCAGGUUUCUGUAAUCUUGUACAGGUACUUGUUACUCCACAUUUCAUAUAUUUAAGAUGAGGGAGUGGUGUGUAAGAAUAUUUAUAUGGGGUAAUUGUGGUGGAUAAAAAAAAAAAGUGAUUCUGCAGUGCUUGAAUACUGUGGAAACACAGGGGCUGCAUAAAUUCUGUUAAGGAGAGACAACCAGCUUCUGCCUUGCCCAGCUUUAUUUUUGUCUCUACGUAGCUCUACAUCGCUUGAGACUGCUCAGCUUGUUCUGACUUUUGUAUGUCUGCUGGCUGUUGUAAACUGUCUCUUGAAUUUCCUGCUAUUAAAAAUCUGUGGAAAGUUAGGUGAGGUGUUGCUGUUGAUUCUUCUGAAGAUUUGACAUUCCUUGCAUGCCGCUCUGAGUUUGUCCCAAGUAUGUGAUAGGACUGCAUGAGGUUUGCAUGGACACUUCCAUCAGCAGGAUUCAGAGGGUUGGUUUGAAAUAUGGAAGCCAUAAAUGGCCGUGAUCAUAAAGUCUCCUUUAUUUAUUUAUUUAUUUUCUGAAGAAUAGGGGCCUAUGUUCUUAGUGACAAGGUGCUCAGGAUGUUGCAGAAUCAGAUAUUUUAUGUUUUUGUAUCCCAGAUGCUUUCAGUAUGUUUGCUCCAAGUUUCCAUCAAUGCAUGGUCACGGUCUGACCUGAAACAUGCCUCCUCUGAUUUCAGUGUGUGUGGGAUUUUCAGUGAAUUGUUUGUUUUCACACACACAACUGAAAUGCAUCCUCUUUUCAAGUAUGUUUGAGUAAUCCAUAGUGAUUAAGCAAAACAAAUAGGAAAGAAUGUGAUCUUGCUAUAUUCCACGAUUGUAAUGACCCCCCUCUUUGAAAUACAUCAGUUUUUUGUCAGAAGACUCAUGUCUGCAUAUGCACAGGGCAUUGCUGCAGACAGGAAAUGCCCUAGUCUGUUGACCUCGUCUCCCAGGGAAAAUGAAAGCUCUCAUUAAAUUUACAAAAAAAAACACCAAAACAACAACAACAACAACAAAAAAAAACAACAAGGAAACCAACUUGUCUUAGUUGGAGACAAAGGCAAUAUUUAGAUGCACAAAUGAACGUCUCCCUGUAGAAAAGAGAAAAUAGAAGUAACUAAUUCGAACUGCUGCAGGGGGAAUAAGUUGCUUUCUGGAGGCGCAGUGACCUGUGCGCAGCAUGAUCUUGGACUUGCUCAUACUCAUAGUGUAGGAGAAGACAUUCAGAGAGGAGGAAAACAACCAUUUUUCUUCCUGCUUCAGGACUGCUAUAGCGAAGUCUGUUUGAGACCUCAACUACAUCUCUAACACUGCUUGUCUCCUACAGAGGUUGGAAGGUAAUUUCAGUCUUCUUGAAGGUUGGGACAUUCAAGAUUACCUUCUGUAGCAGAGCUCUGGAGAACAGUUCUUGUUUGGAAGCAAUACAAUCAAACAAAAACCAAAGGAAAAUACAUCUAUUGUCACGCAGCUUGAGUAGUAUUUAAAAAAGAAA
This is a long non-coding RNA of Cygnus atratus (black swan), 1732 nucleotides long. RefSeq lists it as uncharacterized. NCBI's taxonomy places the organism in Eukaryota, Metazoa, Chordata, Aves, Anseriformes, Anatidae. The record is from RefSeq and is a predicted model, not a curated record. The transcript is spliced from 3 exons.